GGGCGCGUGGCGGAAUUGGUAGACGCGCACGCUUCAGGUGCGUGUGAGGCAACUUGUGUGGGUUCGAGUCCCACCGCGCCCA
This 82-nucleotide transfer RNA is filed under the name Candidatus Falkowbacteria bacterium RIFOXYB2_FULL_34_18. Its description in RNAcentral is "tRNA-Leu". It matches the Rfam family "tRNA". Rfam says of the family: Transfer RNA (tRNA) molecules are approximately 80 nucleotides in length. Their secondary structure includes four short double-helical elements and three loops (D, anti-codon, and T loops). RNAcentral also lists the same sequence under 4 other names. Lineage: Bacteria; Candidatus Falkowiibacteriota. The record is from RNAcentral.